RNAcentral lists this long non-coding RNA (641 nucleotides) under Heterocephalus glaber (naked mole-rat). RNAcentral describes it as "lncRNA (ENSHGLG00100042354.1)". Lineage: Eukaryota; Metazoa; Chordata; Mammalia; Rodentia; Bathyergidae. The record is from RNAcentral.
CAGUUAUUGUCGUUGUCCAGUGGUCAUUUGACCAUCACUAAUGGUGACUCAACCAGAAGUUGUCUGUUUUGUUUUGCAGUAUGAAUGUCAUGUUAUCGCCCAGAAAGUAUUCUAACCCCAAGGGUUUAACUCACUUCUCUCGCAUCUUUAGUUAGAACUUCCAGUUUUCAGGAAAUACAGAGGACAGAGGAUCAAGAAAAGGGCAUCCUAAGGAACUGGUGAUUCUGGUGCACGCAAAGUUUGGAGAGUCCCACACUAGAGCGAUGCUUAAUAAACCUGCGCUGUUUCCAAUGGUAACCAGGGGUGAAUAUGAAGAAAGCCAGACCUCAGGAUGGAAAAGCAAUAACCAGGCCUGCAUGUCUCCCUGGAGAUAAACAGCAACUUGAGACUAGACUGCAAUUGGCACCAUCAAGACCAGUGAGCCCAGACAGGCAUUAGGCACACAGGCAUAAUGCUUACAACAUGGCAGAGAAGCUCAGUGAAUCUGUGUUGAAUGAAGGUCCCCUUGCAGAAAUAUCAGUAUUGAAUACAACAUUGUACUUAAAAAUGAGUAAAUUAGAGCUACGUGUAUUAACAUGGAUAAGUCUCAAAAGUAUACAUUUAAAACAGCAAGUGUAAUGGUUAGGAUUCUCUAGAGGAAC